This 28-nucleotide non-coding RNA is filed under the name Homo sapiens (human). The record is from RNAcentral. Lineage: Eukaryota; Metazoa; Chordata; Mammalia; Primates; Hominidae.
UGCAAGCAACUUGAGGAGGGGUCUGUAA